GCCAGCAGCCGCGGUAAUUCCAGCUCCAAUAGCGUAUAUUAAAGUUGUUGCAGUUAAAAAGCUCGUAGUUGAACCUUGGGCCUGGCUGGCCGGUCCGCCUCACCGCGUGUACUGGUCCGGCCGGGCCUUUCCUUCUGGAGAACCGCAUGCCCUUCACUGGGUGUGCCGGGGAACCAGGACUUUUACUUUGAGAAAAUUAGAGUGUUCAAAGCAGGCCUUUGCUCGAAUACGUUAGCAUGGAAUAAUAGAAUAGGACGUGCGGUCCUAUUUUGUUGGUUUCUAGAACCGCCGUAAUGAUUAAUAGGGAUAGUCGGGGGCGUCAGUAUUCAAUUGUCAGAGGUGAAAUUCUUGGAUCUAUUGAAGACUAACUACUGCGAAAGCAUUCGCCAAGGAUGUUUUCAUUAAUCAGUGAACGAAAGUUAGGGGAUCGAAGACGAUCAGAUACCGUCGUAGUCUUAACCGUAA
RNAcentral lists this ribosomal RNA (465 nucleotides) under Neoroussoella heveae. RNAcentral's name for it is "SSU rRNA". It matches the Rfam family "Eukaryotic small subunit ribosomal RNA", at positions 566 to 1035 of the family's 1831-position model. The record is from RNAcentral. Lineage: Eukaryota; Fungi; Ascomycota; Dothideomycetes; Pleosporales; Thyridariaceae.